AAACGGUCUUUAGGUCAUUUUCAUGUUCCGACCUAUAUGACAUUGUAGCUUUGUUUGGAUCCACUUCAUCUUUUGACCCAUAUGUCAUUGUAAGUUUAUUUGUAUACUCUGCAUGGUUUGACCCGUAUGACAUUGUAACUUUAUGUGGAUCUUCUUGUUGUUCUGACCUAUAUGUCAUCGUAGCUUUAUUGGGAUCAUCUUCUUGUUGCGACCCAUAUGACAUUGUAACUUUAUGUGGAUCUUCUUCUUGUUCUGACCUAUAUGUCAUUGUAACUUUAUUGGGAUCAUCUUCUUGUUUCGACCCAUAUGACAUUGUGACUUUAUGUGGAUCUUCCUCUUGUUCUGACCUAUAUGACAUUGUAACUUUAUUGGGAUCAUCUUCUUGUUCUGCCUUGUAUGUCAUUGUAGCUUUAUUGGGAUCAUCUUCUUGUUCUGGCCUGUAUGACAUUGUGACUCUAUGUGGAUCAUCUUCACCUUGAUUCAAGACUUCAAUAUGUUCAUUUUUUCCUUCAUCUAACCCAUAUGACACUGAGACUUCUUUUAGAUCUCCUUCUUGUGCCACAAAGUCUCUAUUUUUUGAUCCAUGUGACACAGAUACUUCUUUUAAAUUAUUUUCACCUUUUGAUUCAUAUGACAGAGAAACCUCCUUCACAUCUUCUUGUGCCACGAAGUCUCUCUUUGGAACAUCUUUGGCACCUACCCCAUAAGACACCGAGACUUUUUCCGGUCUCUCUCCAACUUUUGCCCCAUAUGACACAGAGACCUCCUUUAAAUUGUCUCCAUCUUUUGAUCCAUACGACAAAGAGUCCUCCUUUAACUUAUGUUCAGCUUGUGAUGCAGUAUGACUAUGUUCUUCCCCUUGAUCAGCUUCUGACUUGAGUUUCUUAUAAUAUGGUCCGAUUUUUCGUAGUCCUUUGACAAACUUGAGAUCAAUAUCGUCUGGAGAGGCACGCACUGAAUUCACAUGUGGCAACCAUGUUGAUAGACUUAUUAGUAGGUCAAUUGUGAUAAACCACAAGUCACAUAAAAUCAAAUUGAACGGGUGAUGCAUCCAUGCAAAAACAACAAAUAAAAAAACUACGGAUAGACUAUGCUAAAUACUACUCCCUCCGUCCCAAAAUGUAAGAUCAUUUUUGACACUGGGUUGCCUCUCUGAAUAUUAGACCUCUGAACAUCAGAGUCAUAUAUCACAACAACGAAAUAAACCAAACUCGUGUUUGCGGUAUGCAUAGACACAAACAAAUUGUUUAUGCUGUGAAUGACAGGCUACAUUUAAACCUAAUCUGUUGUUGAAUAUCCGGUCUCUAUUAAAAGUUAUGUUUAGUUUAAUCUAAUUCCCAUUCCCCCCAAAAAAGGUAUACCUUUUACUUUACAACUAUAUUCGAUUUACAAUUUUACACACUCGUGCAUAUUCGGGAAAAAAAGGAAACAAAUAUUUACACACUCAGCUUCAGACCAAUUAUGAAAUCAGGUCUACGAUUUUGGAGAGAGAGAGAGAGAGAGAGAGAGAGACCUUCUUGUUGGACUAACAGGUCGCUGACGGCUGGGGGAAUUGGAGUUCCGGGAAGCACCGCCUCCCAGUACGCCCUCGGCGUCACCGAGUUCGUCGUGGCCGCAUUGGCGAAGCUCACAUGAGGACUGCCUCCUCCAGUAAUCUGGGUGCAUCACAACAAAUAAACAAAAGACCGUUACAAGUCACACACACACACACACGACGUACAUAGGUAUGCAAUUCGUGUGUGGACAGAAAUAUUUGAUGAGUGUGCCGUAUGCACUCACCAGAAGAAGCGAGACGAGUGACAGGAGUACAUCCAUGGUGUGCGCGCGCUGCAGUGCAAUGUGUUGCAUCCAGUGCUAGUGAGUGAUGGUGUGAAGCAAAGCAGCUGGACAUGGGUCCUAUUUAUAGUCGUGAUUGGGCAAGGAGUGGCAUAGAUUUACUGCUCAACAAUCAUACAUAUGCAUUUCAAGCAUCUUGCUAAAUCCAUGAUUCAUGAGGCAUGCAAGGGCCAACGUAUGACGGCAUUGGACGCUGACGACUCAACCGUUUGCUCUCCUAUUGUCGUACGUGGUUAUUAAGAAAGAGCAGCGUGAGUUCCUCGUGUUCAUUUCUUUAUGGAUAUGGAGUAUGUCAGAUCUGGUGGACGCAAAUAUGCCCAAAGUGCCAUAUUACGGACUACAAAAGUCCAAGCCGAAAGGCCUUGUAGGCUUGUCUGGGAGAGGAAAUAAUCUGUUUGAAAUGUGCUGAAUAUGAUUCUACUUGUAUUCCUUACAUGGUUGAAUUGGGUGGCGUUUUACGUACGUAUAGUAUUAUAUAUAAGAGCAUCUCCAGCAAUCCUCCAGUAUACCAUUCCUAAUACUAAUAGGGUGAUACUGAGGCAAUCCUCUAGCAACCCAAAAGUUGGUACUUUAAACUGUUUGAGUGGUUCCCCGAAAAAAAAACAACAACAACAAGAACACUGUUUGAGUGGUUAGCAGAAAUUAUUGCUUAUCAAGAAUAGUACUACUCUGGUAGCUGAANNNNNNNNNNNNNNNNNNNNNNNNNNNNNNNNNNNNNNNNNNNNNNNNNNNNNNNNNNNNNNNNNNNNNNNNNNNNNNNNNNNNNNNNNNNNNNNNNNNNNNNNNNNNNNNNNNNNNNNNNNNNNNNNNNNNNNNNNNNNNNNNNNNNNNNNNNNNNNNNNNNNNNNNNNNNNNNNNNNNNNNNNNNNNNNNNNNNNNNNNNNNNNNNNNNNNNNNNNNCAAACCCAGCGCGUCGGGGGGCUCCUGGGGCGUCGGCUUUAGCGAAAAGGCGCGUGGGCCCGUGCUGUCGGCGACACCGGCCAAAUUCCCGCCGUUUUCUUCCCCCUUUCCCUCCAUUUCCCUAGUGUCGCCCCCUUCUCCCCCGCCCUUCCCGCCAUUCUCUCCCCGGAUCCGCCCGUCAUGCCGCCGAAGAAGUAUGUCGCCCUUUGCCUAGCCGCGAUUUCGUUCAACCAAAGCAGAGGAAGCCAAGGGCGCCAAUGGCAAGACCCCCGGGCUUGUCGAACGCCGAGUGGAAGGCCGACGUUGAGCGUCGGGAGGCGGUGACCACAAACCGGCGAAAUAGGCUCAUCAUGAAGAAGGCUAGGGACGUGGCGGCGGCGAAGCAGCAGGGAGAGGUGGCUCGCGUGGGGAUGGCGAACCUUUUACCUCAACAGGCCGGCCAGUGCCCCAAGCCACAUGGGGAAGCCAACAGAGCGCCGCGUCACCAUCACCGGCCAACUUAUCGUUGCCGCUAUGGGGGUACGUGGCCUCGCCUGGCUAUGCCGACGGCGGCGCGCAUGGCGGCUUCAACCCCAACAUCACCUUCCCACAUGGCGCGGCGCCGCGCACAUCCCCGGCCGGCUUCAACCACGACUCGCGUAUCCCUCCCCCAUGUUCGCCGCCGGCCUCAACACCCAGUACAGCCACUCGCUGCCGACUUACUCAGCUUCGCUUGCGCCAUCUCUGCGUCGUGGCGCCCUCCCAUUCACACACGGCUCGGCGGCACCGUUCAGCAGCACCGAUGCCGACAUGGACGAGAUUAUCACGAGCGGCUCGGUCGCUGCCGCUUCGUGCCCCGGGUUCCACACACAAGACGAAACUCUGGACGACAUCGUCGAUAUCGAGGACGAGCUCGAUGGCGCCGAGGAGGAAAUGGAGGAAGAACCGGCGGAGGUGGAGCCGGCGCCCAAAGCGAAAAAGAAGAAGAAGGCAGAGCCUCGCCUGAAGUGGACGUCCAAGGAAGACGAGUGCCUCGCUGGAGCAUGGAAGACCGUCAGCAUCGAUCCGAUCACCGGCUCGAAUCAAAACGUCGACACGUACUGGAUAAUGAUCAAGACGGCGUUCGACGAGUGCAAGUUGGUCGACCUGGACUUCGCCAACAUCCACAUGGACCGCGGCGAGAAGGCCAUGGCGAACCACGGGGCGACAAUCCAGACGGCCUGUAACAAGUGGCAUGGGAUUCAAGAGGAGGUCGCGGCUCGCCCGGAAAGCGGCGCCAACGUCGAGGGUUAGGUAUGGCCAUGGUUCGCCGGCCCAGUUCCUCGCCGUGUACUUCACCGACACUUUGUGUUUGGAUGUGCAGAUGGUUCGGAUGUUCAACAUGUUUCGCCAGGACAACAGCGACCAAGAGUUCAAGUUCCUUCAUGUGUUCACCAGGAUCGAGUCGUGCGAGAAAUGGACGAAGGCCGGGCUCGCUCUCACCAAGGCGAAGAACACCUACAACCCGGAUGCGCCUACCCCGCCGGCGGCAGAAGGGCGCCAUGAUGGCAACAAACGAGCCAAGGUGGCAAGGGACGCGGCACCCGCUACCGAACGGUCGUCGAUCGAGCAAUGCAUCGACGAUGCUAAGAGCAACGCCGCCAAGAGGGAGUAGAAACCCGACGCGAGGUGGUCGGCGUUGAUGAUGAAGCAGGACGCCAAGCUCGACCUUCUUAGGACCAACGUCGUCGUGAAGAAGAGGAACACCAACCUGGUGUUCUUGAUGGGGGGAGACACGUCGACGAUGGACGAGCAGGUGAAGGUGUGUACCUGGCGGAGCGCGGCCUCAUCUUGAACCAGAUGUCGGGACCGUCGGCGACCACCACUCCUACGCCAACGCCAACGCCGAGCCCGAGCAAUGGAGCUGCGCCCACGCCGAUGCCGAGCCUGAGCACUGGAGCUGCGCCCAUGCCGACGCCGAGCCCAAGCACUGAAGUUGUGCCCACGCUGACACCCACGCCGACCUCGGCCAGCCCUGCGGCAGAGGAGCCUACCGCUUGAGCUCCACGUCUAUUUGUUCCUAUCCUUUUGAUCGCCGGACUUUGGCUAAUGUUCGAUGUCAGCCCUGUGGCAGGAUGAACGCCGACCUGUGGCAUGAUCACCAAACUGUGUCGUUUUUUGUAGUGGGAAAAUGAACUUUGAAUUUUACAUUCGUUUUGGGGGCCGAAACCCGGGGGCGCGACUGAGAACUCGAUCGCCCCAGACCGAAAAAAGCGCCGGCGCAAACGCCAAGACCCUUCGAUGGGGAGAAUCAACCUGUGGUUGAGUUGGUUAGGUGGACAGUGGUAUCCCCAACCCACCAGGGUUCAAAUCCUGGUGCUCGCAUUAUUACUGGAUUUAUUUCAGAAUUUCCGGCGAUGCGCUUUCAGUGGGGGGAGACGUUCCCGUCGACGACGAAGCGCCUACGGUGACUUCGUAAAUCUCAAGAUGAUAUGCCGGCUCAGUCUCUCGGAGGUGCCCAUAGGGGUAGGGUGUGCAUGUGUGCGUUCAUAGGGGUGAGUGUAUGCGCGUGUAUAUGAGCGCUUGUGUCUGUACUGAUGCUAAAAAAAAAACCUUCGCUGGGUGCGCUGGGGGCCAAACUGGAGAUGCUCUAAGAUUCGUGAGCAGCACAAGCUCGGCUGGCUGACUCAAGGAUCAAGUAUGCCGAUGGCAUAAACCGGACACACAUGGUCAUUCAGAUGUCCAUUUCGACUCCAUUUUAGCUAAGAGAAAGAUACAACUAAUGUGUUUUUAGUUCUCAGGCUUUUUGGUUGGCUGUACCUUUCGUUGUUCUUUCAGCCAAAGGAUUCUCCUCGAUCUGGCAAGAGCGAUCUUUCCCCCUAAAGACUGAUGACCAGAGCCAAGUAUGCUGAUUCCUGCAGAAAGUGGGCCUUUUGUCUUGUCGAAAGAACUCAAAUUUCUUUUCAAGUGUCUUAGCUACGAUGCGCAUGCAUAUCUCCCAUUGCCUGAUCUAACCAUAGUCUAUAAACAACACACCAUGCGGAACUCGUUGUUGCAUAUUCAAUUUGGAAGGCUGAUUGGCUAAGAUCUGAUAAGGGAUACUGCAUCCUAUCAUCAGGCAGCAGGCAGCUUGCGGCGGCAGGGUUAACCACGAUGGAAUGGAAGGACCAAGACUGAGAAAUAAAGUAACCACAAGAAUAUAUUUUUUAACACAGUAUAAUCUCAGAUGCUCACAUAGAAGCAUCAAUUGAUAUAGAGAACGGCGUAAAAAAAAAGACAAUGCAGUCGAUCCCGUUGUUCUAGAACAUUCUUGGCAUCGGGUACAGCCAAUCAGACAUUGCAAAAUUACAGUUUACCAAUGUGUUGCCCUUUGCAGGACAUAACGGACCGCCCGAGGUUGGGGCCGGCUAGCAUGAGUAGGUAGGCACACAGUUCGGCAUGAAAGCAAGGACAAUCAGCCGCCGCGGCAAUGACAGGAUGUCAUGUCGGCCAUGCAUGUGUGGUGACAGAGAGUGACCGGACACCGGAGGGUGCCGGCUACUGUGCAGGGAAGGACUAGACGACAGGCGUGAGCGAUUUCGCAGAGCGGGAAAUCACGGCGGGACCGGCGUUCUGCUGAAAGCUAUGAUCAGCUAUAUGGAUGCAUAUGGUGGUUGGUGGAGCUACGAGAGGCAUGUUUGAGUGAACCAUGUCGUCUCGGACAAGUGAAAUGUAUCGCAGAGGGCCUCUUUGAUUCGUAGGAGUUUUUCUAUGCUGGUGUUUGAUUCGUAUGAUUGUUUCCUAUAGGUUUGCUUCUUAAUAACUCUUUGUACUACGUACUCGAUAGGAAAUUUAGAAUCGACUCAAACCUCUUCAAAGAAAAAUCCUUUCGUAGCAUUCAGAUGAGAUGACAUUGCAAUUCUAUAUUGUUCCUAUUCCCACGUUUUCAGAUUCCUACGAAUCAAAGAGGCCCUUAACUCUUUGUAGAUGGCGCAAAUCAAUCUAUCUCCUAGUACUGCCAAAAUGGCACGCUAUCCAAACUGCAACUAAGGCAUAGUAAUGUGAAAUAUAAUCGCAGAAGCCCAGUAUCCAAACUAAAACCUUGAAUUUUUGCUAAGCAACGACAGGACAUGUUGGAGGUAAAGACCACAUGCUGCACCAGGCAUUACCAAUACCAAAUCAGCAGACUAUUUCGCCUACUAUUUCUAGUAGGCGAAACCGCCGUGCGUUCAACUAGCAGUGCGCCUGCGAGUUCUUGCCCGCUUCUGCUAUCCCGGUGCUUAGCAAAAAUAAUAAUAACUGCAGAAGCUCAUUCCAUAUAUAUACUCAUUCAAGUCCAUAUAUCAAAGCUAUCGCCUGUAUGAAGGAAAGCCUUUAUUGACGAAACUACAAUACACCUUAUGCAACUAUGGAUAUAUGAUCAUCACUGGUUCAUCGAUUGAAAAUAACAUAAAAGUUUUCUAUCACCAGUGCAACUAGUCUUCCUCCUGGCCAAAUUUAUAAAAUCUGCUAUCACUGUAUUGGUAUCAGUCUCUGAAUCUAAGCAAAGUACGAUGACGAGGACGAUGUAUCCCGGAGGACCUGCAAGCGCAAAUUGAGCAAAACUGUGAGAAAUGACAUCAACGUGUGCAGCAAACCAGCAAUUGAAGAUAUUGAGCUUGCCUCCAGUUCGUCUUCUGUGAAGGCAUCCUUCUGGAUGCUCCAAGUGUCGGCGUGUGUCCUCUUAAACUCAGCAACAGCCUUUGUCACAGUAGAUUUCACAGGAGACGGCUCGCGGAUGAAGUGGGCCAGUAGUGUUACAUGACCAGGAAGCCAGCUGCAAAGACCAGGGCUGACGUAAGUGUGGGUUAUGGAGCAAUAGAACUAUCAACAAAUCUGUUGCUGAUGCCACCUGCUAUCAACUCGCUCUGUAAAGAAAUAUAAGAGUAGAUCACUACUCUAGUGAUCUAAACGCUCUUAUAUUUCUUUACAGAGGGAGUACUAUGCAACAAAUAAGGUACUCUAGUGAUCUAAACGCUCUUAUAUUUCUUUACAGAGGGAGUACUAUGCAACAAAUAAGGUAAGGCCAGCGAGUACCUUGGCAUGUCGUAUGGGACAGAAAGCACCGAAGCCGUCAGAGCAAGUACUGCACCAUGUAUGGUAGCAACAGAAUGGCCGGACUUUGGAGUUCUGCAACAUGCAAAACAUUCACAUGUAUUAGCCAAUUAUCUGCUCAACAAUCGGUGACACAAAAUACUACAGUAAUAUCAGAAUUCAGUACAAAGUUUACCUUCUUCUCGUAUCAAGGAUACGUUGGGCUUGUGCAUAUGAUCUAUCACGGAAAUCCUUCGAUAGAUCUUUAUCUAUACCCUUCAUUAAGCUUGCAAGAACACCAGCAGCAUGCUCCCUGACCUGAGUAUAGAAUGGUAAAGUUCAUACAAUUAGCAACAGGUAUCUUCACUUAGAGGACCUUUAGUAAGAACAACACUCAUAUGUAUCCAUUAUACCAAGGAAAAGGCUAGAAGUAGAAAGAUCGAUAUUCUUAGUGCUUUUCAUGUCAGGAGUACAAAUUGUACACAUUUCUUGAAUAACACAACAGGUGGAAAGAAAAUGUUGAGUGAGUCAGAGGCCAAAUAAAGAUAUAUACUUGCCUCAACUUGGUUAUCCACAAGUAACUUCUCGAUUGUUUGCCAAAUUUGUGAUUUCUCUGAGCCAGAAAGAAUGAAUGUGUGCCUGUGACAAUUAACUUUCGAUUAGUUCCAAGACCACUGGGAGAAUCACAAAACCACAUGACAACUAAGAAAUAUUAACCCGUCAAGAAGACUAGAUCUGCAAGUACAAGAUAAUGUAAGUCUCUAUCAUCCUCAAUGAGAAAAUACGUCAUAAUACACUUCACAAGUCACGCCACACUACCAUAGAAACAGUCAGUGAGCUGUUUGCAGCAAUGACCUAGGUUUUGACACUGCCAGUGUAGUAUCAAAGGUAAGUUUUUCACACUGAGAAUAAAACUAGAGAAGAACACAUUGCGGACUAAAAAAACAUUUAUUCUAAUACUGGAAAAAUAGCAAUCAGAAGAGAGGGUAUGAACCUGUAUGUAAAGGUCCUGAGAUAUGAUAACAACGCUGAUCUGGUUCGCCAGUUGGGAUCACUGACUGAAGAAAGGAUAGCCAUAAUAGCUGUUUCAAGAAAAGGGCGCGGCAAAGUCCGCCAUUUAAGCAAUUCAAAAGCUGACUUUGCAAGCAAUGACAAAUCUUUAUUUGAUGUUUCCUGCAAAAACAUAACAGGGCAGUCAAAUUGUUAGAAUUCCUAAUUCUAACAAUUGCUAGUACCUGUCUCCACAAAAAAAAAAAGAUGACCUCCUGGAAGGUUUAAAAUAUUUUUGUCUUCUCCUCAAAAGAAAAUCUCAACUUUCAAGAAUUUUAGUAGGUAGGAUCAAACUUCAGUUUUUCUUCAGAAAGAUAGAAGGAUUACUGGACUUCUAAGAUAUGGUUAGCAAAUCAAAAGAGAAAAUUCUUCCACUUCAUUAUUCUUGUUUCUCUCAAAACACCACGAAAAACGAGUGUACAGGUAAAAAUUCCUUUCAUGGAAGAUUGGGUUAUGUCACUACAGCGAAGUUACCACAAUGCAUACCUGUAAUGAUAGAACAGGGUAGAAGAGUGCAAUAAUAACAUCUAGUAGAACGGAAGAUCUCCCAGACUUCAGAGAUGCAAUCAUGAAAUGGAAAAUCUGCAAAAGAAAAGCAUAAGCCUAGAAUGAAGCAACGGAAUAGUACACGUAUCAACCUGGAGAAAGUUAUGAAAUAACACCGUUUCCAUUCUUUUAGCGUCAGCCUCCUCUUUAUUGUCCAAGCCAUUCACAGUGGAUGAAUCGGAUGCCAAUUCAAGUUGCUUAGAUUGACUAUUGUUCUGUAUACUCACAGACAACUCAGUAACUCCAUCUGUCAAACGCUUAGACCAAUAUUCAUUUCCGGUUUGUUCUGUCAGGACUCCCGGUGAACGUGCACCAGCUAAUCUCACAUUCGAGCAUGCGACACACAUAGCAACACCAAUCGCCUCUCUUACCUGGAAUCAAAAUGAAAGGAAAUGGAUAAGAGUUUGUUUUCUUUCGAGAUAACUAUAUUUCUUUACACAUCUGGGCUCCAUUUAUUAUCAAAAGCUUGUCGUUACUUCAGAAAAUUUUGACAGUGCCAAUUGGGAAUGAGAUGGGGAGUUUAGCGGGAAUUUAUGGUGAGUAGCCAUGGCAAUUUGAUUCUGCCAUAACCUUUGAUAGGCUUGAAUCUGAAAUGUGUGGCAGUAUGUGUUUAUUUCUUUUCAUUUUUUUCUUGGUACGCUUGCUCUAUCCAUAUUGCAUUUUUUCUCCUCUUUUAUAUGGGGGGGUUGAGAACUAGUAUGGUUGCGUCCUUAAUUUGCAAUUAAUAAUAUAGGCCACAUUUUCAAUUGAGAUUAUAGGGUUCCACUUGUGGCAGCAGCAAUGAAAUGAAUUUAUUAACCAAAUUUCACAUGCAAAACGUGUUUUGUCAAGUAGCUGAGAGCUAGCAAGGAUACAUCUGAACAACUGACAAUUAUGCCAGUCACCCACCAGAAGAGGGUCCGAGCCUAUAAGCGCUUUAUGUAUCUUCUGGUUCGGACACAUCUGAUAAUUAUGCCAGUCACCCACGAAGAUAGUCCAAGACUUAAUAUAAGUGCAAUCCAGUUUACAGGAACCUAAUCCAGCACAUAGCAAGCCCGAUUACACAAUAUCAUACCAUUGAUAUAGACCCUGAAUCCUAGUGAAGGGUGCUCAAGAACAUGUUCUAUACAACAUGCAACACUCAAUUAAGUCCUACGACAGAAGGGCAGCCGAUUUUGCUAGAUAUGUCAAGGAAAUAUUCUUUAGGUGUGAUCAUAGUAUCAACUUCAUUAAAGACAAUGGAAUUAGAAAGGAAAAAGGUACCUCCACAUAGAAGUGAUCUGACAUUACCUGUGCAGAUGAGUGACUCAUAUUGUCAAGCAGUUCGUUGAGAAUUGUAACGUGGUACUGCUCCUCUGCUGGGGACAUUUUAUGUGGAGAAAUUUCAAUUAGAGCAACAGACAGAAAAGAAUAUCUCUUGGCAAGUACACUAGUUGCUACAGACUGAGGAACUGCUGUACAUAAGCAAUCUAAUACUUUUUGCCUGAGAACAGGAGCACGAGUUCCAGAUCUUUCUUUGCCAGUAACAGCAUAUCUAAUGCAAGAUGCCCAUUCAGGAACUGAUUCCACAGAUGGAGCUAACACAACCUUCUGCAAUUGAAGCAUCAACCAGUCACUCCCAGACUCCAAAUCCCCACUGACAUCAGAGUGAAGCAUGCCCGCCAUAGCUUCAGCCGCCACACAUUGCCUUGAUCUUUCUUUUGAACUCAGAAAUUCUUCUAGUGCAGUCUGAAGUGAGGACAUUACUGGCAUUCCGCAUUGUUGUAUAAGCCUUUUGAAUAUCUUAGCAAAGCUGGAAUAGAAUGUGCCACCGCCCACUAAAGAAAUCCAACUAGGGGUACAUGGCCACGAGGCAGAGAAAUCAAAAUAGAAGUAAGUGAUUGCUUUAUCAGAUCCGCUUUGAAACGAUGAAGCACCAUAACUUGCUUUUGAUGAACCAUCACUAUCAGAAAUAAUAUGUACAUGUGAGAGACUGUUUAGUGUAUCAUUCAUGAAUCCUUCCUCCUGGAUUAUGUCAUUCAGAAGCCUUCCUGUUGACAAAAUAUUGCAUUCUUCAGGGUGAUCUAAUGAUUGUUGUGAAUCUUCCACAGAUGCCUUGUGAGGUGAUCCUUCUAAUAGUGUGUUCAGAGCAGAUAUUGCAAGCAUCCUUGAGUGGGGGAGUUGACUCUUCAAAUUUCUUAAGAAAUGACCUAGCAUAAAACAGAUAUUUUAAACAAUGAAGGACAAACCCAUGACUACGGAAGUUCUUUCAGGAACGUGCAGCUGGAGAAAAUGACAAUGAAAAUAUGGCAUACAUGUUCAUUUCAAUGUUACGAAAAGAAACUACAAACAGGAGAAGCUGUGCAUACCAGCAGUCUCUGCCAGGAUUUGUGAAUAAAUGUCAGGCUCACUUCUAGAUGCCAAAAUUAGCAACAGAAGUACUCUAUUAGCCAUCAGGUUGUACCUGGAAGUAUACAGCUUACAGGUUAAAAUAAAAUGUAUGUAAAUAGCAGGGAAGAUAGUCAUUUUAUUCCGACAGAAUGGCAUGACAGUUAUUAUUGAGAUCAAAUUAUUGGGAUGAAUAAGGAAUAGUAGAUUUCACGCUAUUGUCUUUGUAGGAGUGCUACUACAUACGGAAAGCUUCUAAUGACAAAUCAGUUCAGAAGAAAGCUUUAGAGAAUUAUCAAAUUCCUCCAGUUCCACCAGAAUUAUGAGAACCAUGUCCCAUCAUCCCAUCACAAUUCACACGCCAUGUUGCCAACAAGAAAUGUUGUGCUCAAGUAGCCAGCUGCAUAUAUGGUUACAACAUAUUCAGACCUCCCAGCGUACAGAUACACCCUUUUUCCAUACACCCUGCAUCAUCUUGUUGGGGCACGAGAUUCUAUAAUUGUUGCAACAAUGCAGCUAUAUUGCAGUCUUGCAGUUACAGAGCAACGCUUUGGACAAACAUGUCAACAGAUUUGCGGUUCUUGUAACAACAGAAAUACUAAGUUUCGAAGUCAACAUAAACAUGCAUCUCGGAAAAGGUAAGACAUAUUUAAGCUGACCAGCUUCUAGUACCAUCCAAACUGCACAGUGGUCUAUAUUGAAGUAUAUGUGGAUUGCCCAACCAUUUCCAUCAGUUCGGACGUAUGGUUCUACUGGUUGGUGCAUAAAAAACUUAAUACGGCAUCAGAGCCAAGAGGUCUCAGGUUCAAGUUUCGGCUUCCGCAAUUUAGAUGAAAAAAUUGCUUGCCUUCUUUCUGCCCACUUUUAGGCCAUAUCAAGCCUCACGUGGAACUCGUAAGAAAUUAUCUAUGGUAAGAUUAAAUUAGAGAACCAGAAAAAAUAAUAGAGGGAAUUUGUUUGACAUAUUUGUCAAAAACAGAGAGGUCUUAGGUAUUUUUCAAGGUAAGAAAAAACGUAAGUGCUAGAUGUUAAUACAGAUGCCGCAGUUUUUGGCAUAGAGUUGGCAUAUAGCUUACCUCCAAUGUAGACUGUUAGUCUCAAAGCCCAAAGCAUUAAUUUGAGAAAAUAAUCCAAGAAAUCCUGGCCUGUCAGCCAGACUUUGAGAAUUCUUGAAAAAAGACCUUGAUAUUCCAGAGAAACGUAUGUUGUAUUUCACAAAGAGCUGUAAACAUCAUAUACAGAAUAUUUAGUGGCAAAUAUCAUGUUUUAGUUUUCUCCGUCUUAUGUUUAUGAAACUUACCUCAGUAAUAGCUUUCUGACACUUUAUCGAUUCAUGAUGAGAGCUACAGAACAAGAAGAUUAGAUUUAGUACAUACAUAUCAAUAAGGUGCUCUUUUAACAAAGGAUACUGCAUGCUUCUCUUUCCUUGUUUGUUGAGUGUUAAAUACUCAUAUUCUUUUGUGUAUGUGUAAAGAAACAUUACUGGUAGUUCUAAGCUAUUAGAAACGAUUAGGGAAAACCUAGAGUAUCUGCCAAUUACCUUCCCAAAAUUCCCAUGAUAAAUGAAGAGAGGGAAGCAGAAUCCUACAUUGAACAAUUAUGUUAAUAUAAUUAAAAUCACUGAUAUAACUUAUAUAUGAUUGUGAAAUAGACAUACAGUUGUCAAGUGUCUCAAAACAGUCUGUGAUGCAAGAAUGCUGCAAGAACCAAGCACCACAUGUUCCAGGGCUUUCGAAUCACGCAAAUUCUCAGUCAGGGUAAGAACACAAUCAGAAAUUAGAGAAGGCCAGUGCUUCAGCAUUUUUGUUAGCGAUCUUCCAGCAUACCUGGAAACAUGGUAACAAAGUAAAGUAGGUCACUGAUGUAUGACCACAUAACCCUUUGAUUGAAACUUCAUUUCUGCUAUGGGGUCAUGAUCAAUAUCAGCCAGAUAAAGAAAACUACGAACAAAUCAAUAUCCACAACUGUGCGUUGUUAUAUUCCAAAAACAGAGAAAAACAGAAACAUACAGUAGUCAGAAUCAACAGUUUCUCGAGUUACUAUGUAUUAUGCUGAUGGUAAUAUUCGAACGAAAAUACAUACUAACAGCCUAAACAGAAGUUGCAAGCUACAUGUCACAUGUAAAUAAAGAGGGAAAGAGAGCUUACGAGCGAACAGUUUCAUAGUUGUGUAGUGAGAGAUCUAGGAGAUCCUUCACCAAAUUAACCAUGAGGCUAGACGGAGAUACAUUGGCAUUUGUCCGGUAUCUGUGGUAUGAUGAUUGUGAACAUCUCCACGUAUUAUGCAAGUGUGCUUUAUCGACAAGUGCCCAUCUAGGUCUAACAGAAAUAAGAGACUGAAUUUCAAUCGCAAUCCAUGUAAUGGAAUCAGACUAGAAAGUAGGACCAAUAUAUACCUCUUUUUGCCCUGAGCAUGGAAUGGAACAAUAAAGUUGCAUUGAGGCUCAAUGAUGGCAGCAGACUCUAAUUUCCAAGCUUGAACAUGACUUGACCAUUCAUCAUAUUCCAAGCUACCUACAGCAGUACACUGUCAUGUAAGCAGUCAAAAGUACAGUGUGCAAGUUUCUAAGAUAGCUAUCAUACCAUAGUUCACCAAAGCAUCAAUCACGCGUACUACAAGUGCUAGGAGAAUACUAUCAUCAGUUCUUUCCUUUAAUAAGUACCUGUUAAAAGAAUUGUGAAUGCUGAGAAUAAAUAAACUUGCAAAUGAUGAAAGCAAAUAAGCUUUAAAAUGAUUAGUAAGUAGAACUGGGUGCAGUACGAAUGUACAUUACCUGCAAGCUAUGUGCACAAGUUCUGCAGCCUUUUCACGCAUCUCUGAGCUGCCAACGGUGCUACCAGAAGAUCCUGCAAUAAAGAAACUGGGCUCUACUACCUUGGACCUCCCAUCUUUAUAUGAUGGACGCAGUUCAGGUAAGCACGACAUUACACCCUGCAAUGCAGAAUGAAUGCGCAAUAGCGUUAUUUUUAGGUGCUCCUUUUCAUCUCCUGCCAAAAGAACAGAAUAACAGGGUAUCAAGGGGACACUCGGGCAAAGAGAACAAUGACAAAAAUAAGAAAAACAACUUAAUUAUUAACAUAGAUUGGUGUAAUCAGCUUCCUGUCAGAUUAGCAUACAUGCUUUAACAUAUGCAUAACCAAGCCGGAAAAAAACAUACAGGGUUAUCUCGUUGGUCAGAACAAGAAUAUAUGUACCUGUCUCAGACUGAACUUCCAUCUGGCAAAUAGUCAAAAGCUCUUCCACAGCCGACUGAAAAUGAAAUUCUAACAAUUCGUUUGCAAAAGAUAGUUCAUCUUGACUGGGAUCAUGCCACUUCGGAGGAAAAUUAAGCAUUUCAACCUCCCUGUCCUGAUGAGCUUUUGAACAACCCCAUGGCUCAAUAAUAUUAGCAAUGGACUGACAAGAAAAUGGCCUAUAAAAUAACAAGAUUUUGUUGGAUAACAUCUUUUAAAGAUCAAAUGAUAAAAUCAGACAGAUGUAAAUAAGCUAGACAUACUUAUACUGAUCUAGUGGAUAAAAUGAAACCAGGCUUCCUAGCACAGAGCGAAGGAGAUGAUCACCAGCUCCAUUGACCUGAUUAUUCCAAAGGAAUUCAUCAUUUCAAAGUGUAACAUAUAAUGGGUGACUGUCUGUCGAAAUGUAUGAAAGAUAAGAGGAAAUAUAAACCUUCCAUGAAGGGGCCUGGAAUGCAGACAUUAUUACGUGCUUUAAUUCUUCUCUAUAGCUCAGUAAGACAGGACCCGCAUAACUGAUGGAUAUAGCCAAAACCCUCAGAUAGUAGUCCAAUGCUGUUUCUAGAGCAGGAGAAAGUGUAGCCUGCAUGUGCAUACAAGGCAGCUGGUGUGUAAUGAAUGUAAGAGCUCAACCAACAAAUGUUACAGGUUUUGAACGAACCUUAGUAGACAUAUUGUUAGGAACUUCUCUUCCAACAUAACCUGUUGUGGGGGUACCUUCGAAGGAGGACAUGAUAGUCAUUAAGAUAGGCUUUACAAGGUAGACUGAAGCCUCCUCAGGAUAUGAAUGAACACAGGCACAACAAAGAAGUCCAACUUCUGAAGUGGCACCAGGAAGGAUAUUUGCAUUGACGAACUUGGCAAUUUUCUUAAGGGACUGCCAAUUGGAAAAUCAAGAAGCAUGAGCAUGACAGAAAAUUCACAUGUUAAACCUUUUAGGACAAGGAGGUGGAGCAUUUAAUUAAAAAAGCGCAAUACCUGAUUAAAUAAGGUUUUUGAUAACUUUCCCAGAACUAUUUCUAGCAUGCAAAAAUAGUGAGGGCUGUCCUCGACGAGAAAAGUUCCCGGCAUGAUUGAGGUCUGGUAACCCUCCGCGCUGCCACAACAAAAAGAGAAAGAUAUCAUUUAGCAUGUCCUCCAAAAAUAAUUCAGUAGUAAUGACAAUUUAAAAGUUUAGCAACCACAGCUUACAUGGCACUACUUGAUUCCAGAUUCUGAAGCACAGAAAACAGCCGACAAAAGAAUUCAUGUAGCCAAUCCGAUAGAGAGGAAGUUUGGAGGAAAGCAGGCACAUCAUCACUAACACCAACUGUAGCCAGCUAUAAGCACCAAACAAUGGUUAACUAAAUGCUGCACAGCAAUAUCAUAAACCAGUGUGCAAAGACAAGGUUAAAUCAUAUAAAUACUUACAUUUGAAAAUAUUGAGCCAAUUAAUUGCAUCGUAGCUACAGUUUUAGGUGGAUCGUUGGCAUCCAUACCAAGCAAUGCAUUUGAAAGGGAAGUGACAAUAAGAUCAUAGAGUGUAUCAAUCAUGCUACUAUCACCAGAUUGAGUUGAGCAUAAAGAACUUAGAAGAAGCGCCCGUCCAGAAAAUGCGACAGAUGUGACAGCAUUCUUUAACUGGUGGGUGGCAGUAGUCUGUCAGGAAAAAGUAAAGUCGUUAGCUUGCUUGCGAGUUAACUGAAAACUAUAAAUAUUGGCAUAUUUUAGGGCUCCUGCAUGUCAUAAUGACAUCCAAGCUCAAGAAAAAUAGUAACAGGUAUGCUGCAUGUGUUGCCAAACUUACUGUCUCCAAGGCUAGUUGGAAGUUCGUUGCGACAAACGGAAGCACCAAGGAUGGCUCGACAUAAGACAGGAUUGAAGUUGCAAUGGAUACUGUUUCAGCAAGAGAAUCAUCCUUGCUGUACUGACCACGAUCCAGUAAUUUCAGCACUACUUUGAUAAAAACAGCUCUCUCUUCUUUUCCCAAACAGAACUGCUCAUUUUUCUCAUCCAUUGUGUCACUGCAUUGCCAUUAUUAAAUCAGAUGAUGCAAGCAAUAAAAUUCUCAUGUGGCACAAGAUACUUCAAGCUGCAGCAUGAGUUAAGAUUGAUCACUUACAAUUGUUCAUGUUGAAGACGUCUUUCAAAGUAAAAAACAAGAUACCGCAGAAAACGCUCCAAUGAGUAGGUCCAGCGACCCCCAUUUGAUGGAUGAUAGAAUCUAAAUGCCAGAAAGACAUAAGUUAAAACAAAAUAAAGAGCCAGUGCGACAAGCAAAAAGAAGUACAAGGACCAGAAGACAAACUGUUCUAGAAAAUUUAUGAGCUUCUCAAAUUGUUCCAGUGCCAGACUUUUAGGCUUCAAAAGGUACACCUGCAAACAAAAAUAAAAGAUAAUAUUAGUCGUAUCUUGCUUUGGUUAAACAAUGCAACAAGCCGUAAUGUUUACAAAAUAUCAUGCUGUAGUAUUUUUUUUCUAUGGCAAGUUUGUUAUAUAUGAACUAAAACAUGAAUAGCAGGGAUAACUUUAUCAGCAGAAUACACCAUAAAUUAUUAGCUAGUGACUGAACAAGUGGUUAGAAUCAUAAGAAAGUUGGCCCCAUUAUUCAUGCAUAUUUUAUGCUGAUACCAAGACAUCAAAUAUUAAAGGCUUAAGUGCAUAAAAUCUUCCACAAGCUGUCAAGAAAAAAUAGUUGAAAGGAUAAGGAUAGCUUACAACAGACUUUGCAAUUGCCUUGGAAGGUGAUCUGGUCUUACUUGAGAACAAAAAUCUUGUGUUCCUAGGCACCUCCACUGGAAAAGGGUACGACCCAUUCCCACUGGAUAUAGGAACCUAGCAACAGAGACAAAAAUAUAUUAAUGAUUGUGGAAAAGAUUUUGUAAUCCUACUUUAAUGGAUUUACCAUACAUAAUGCUACUUUAAAUCUGACAGCUGAAUAACAUAUGACGAACGUUGUGAUAUAUAUCACAACCGUAUGAAUAUUUUUGGUAUUUACAGUAAACAAAAUCUAAGUACCAACUAGAUUUGGCUUCGUAACACUGAAGAAUGAAUAUAAGCUUGACUCGGAUUAGCAAGAAAUUUGAUGACAUCCAAGAGAACAUUGUACUCGCCUCAGUAUUUGUGAUGCGGAGCAUCCCAAGGUCAUCCCCGUGGACCUACCAUCGUCUCAUCAAGUGCCUACCGGACCCAUGACUCGAUCACGUGCAAGAGCCCUUGAAACCGAGAUGACAUCUCUCCUCUCACAAUUCCACUUCGAUGCACAUGAAGCAUGGCUACUACCUCAUAUGGAUACUUUGUGCAUACUCAGGUACAAUGGAGAAGCUAAGGAGCAAGGACAAGAAGAAGAGGAAGAUGGACGAGAAGACGGAGAAGAAGAAGGGCUGCCGGAAAAGACCCAGCCACCGGACGACCGGCCGGGACCGGACGUCCGGCGCCUGAAGCAUCUGCCGAGUCCCAGCCAGCGGACGUCCGGUCCAGACCAGACGACCGGUGCCCCGACACCCGAAGCAAACGAGCGGACGUCCGGUCCAGACCGGAUGACCGGUGCCCCUGCACCCGAGGCCAAUGAGCGGACGUCCGGCCCCGACCGGACGACCAGCGCGACCACACCCAAGCCGAAGUCAGCGGAAGUCCGGAGCCUCCGGACGUCCGGCACCCCCAUCACAGAGCGGAAUCAGCGGACGACCGGAGGACACCGGACGUCCGGCAGCUCCUGAGACACCGGACGACCGGUCCCCAGCGGACGUCCGGUACCUGUCUGCGCACAGUGUUCGGGCCUGAGGCCCAUGUACCCCUUCACUUCGCCCCCAUUUGCACUUAAGACUAUAAAUAGACCCCCCAUUCAUCCUAGCUAGGGUUAGCAUUGGUUUAGCUCAUUUGAGAGAUAGAGCAUUGCUCAUCCAUAUCGAAUCUACUCCUGGAGAGAGACCGCGACCCCUCUUCGGAGAGGAUCCACCUUGGAUUCAAGACCUUGCGGAGAAGAUCCCCUUGUCGAUUCAAGACCUCCUCACGGAGGAGAACCGGUUACCGUGUAUCGUCCCUAGUUGUCCAUGGAUUCAUGUAUCGUUCUAUGUACUCAAGGAUCUAGCCCAUGUGUGACUUAUUCGUGUCGGUUUAGUGAUUUCCUCUUGUGUUUACCUUCCGUUCAUCCUCGUGUUCUUCGUGUUUUUUCCCCGGGAUCCGCUCCUUUCGUGAAAGAUCGAGCUAUAGGGUCUCUACCCUACAUCAUCUUGGUAUCAUGAGCCAGGUUCAUCACGAUUUCGGAGCCCCCUCUUCGUUUUUCUAGCUUGAUUUUGUUGUUUUUCGUCCUAAUCCGAAAAUCCCCACAAAAUUAGCCCUAAAAAUUUUUCUUGUGUUUUGUGAGUUUUGAUGAUGUUUUGUUGGUUUUGAUCCGUGAAUUUGUUGCGUUGCAAGUAGAUCUAGCCUUUACCCACCAUCUCCACCUCGAAAUCCCUCCCAAAUUCCCCAUAUUCCCCCCAAAAUCACCUCCCGGAUCUAAAAUUUCGGUUGACCUCGACCACCAGACGACCGUCACAUCACCAGACGUCCGGCGACCCAGGAAGCACCGGACGUCCGACCCGACCGGACGACCGGCGACUGGACAUCCGUCCACUACCGGACAUCCGCUACACCACCACCGACUUUCCGCAAUCUUUGCCAAUAUCCCAACCCACACCACCACCUAACCGAUACCUACUCCGACGAUUUUGAUCGCCUUUGGUUUUGAGAAUUUGAGUUGCGGUACCGUAUCCUUUUGUGUUUCGGCUAUCUAGGUACGGUUCGACAUCGACACCACCGCCGCUCAUUUUCGCCACGGACGCGUCAUCAACACCGGUCAUCAACAACGACCACCUCGACUACGACUUGGUAUUCGUGCCACCAUUUUGACACCAUACCGGAAGCAAGACCGGUAACCUCAUCUUGGUAGUGGACAUAUCACUCUUGCCAUUACAUUGAUAGCCAUCAUCGCCUUACUCCUUUGCGUUGCUUACCCAUCGAGACUAGCCAUUGAGUAUUGCCGGCAACGAGACUUGUGCACUUUAGUGAUCAUACUUCCCAUAGCAUACAUACAUACAUCAUUGUUGCCUAUAUUGGUAUCAUCUCUUGUGUCACUAAGUUGUCAUCGCAUACUCACUUACUAUCUUGGUUCGUCAAGCAUUGCAUGAGAAAAGAGCUCAAACAUCAAAGAGCCAACCAAGCUUUUAAGCAAAGAGGAAAGAUAAGCAAAGAGCUUUUAAGCAAGAACCAUAGCAUCAUACAACAUUAAGAUUGUCAUACUCGAUCAUCUUGGAUCAUAUCAUAGCAACACCUUGCAUAAAACAUAUUUGGGAUAGAAGUAGUUGCAUUUUUGCUAAGUAGGUUGUGCACAAGUUCUUGUAUCCGCCUAUCGUGCAAUCGUGCUAGCGUCUCUCUAGUGUUGUGCAACAAGAGCAUUUUUUGUGGAUUCCACAUUUUGGCUCACCCUUGGUUGCACAACCCCACUUAUCUUUUUGCGUGUGUGUUUCUGUGUACCGUAUAUGCUUGGUCUACUUGUUACAUCGCAUCUUGCGAAUCUUCUCCAACAUUAUUGAAUCUUGCUUACAUUCACAUUAAAAAUUGUGCCACCAUCCUAACCAAGCUCCACCAUAAGCUUUUACUUGUGUAGGUGUGAGAAACCGACGAGAAUUCGUACCAAUUGGGCUAUUUCCUUGUCCUACAUUGGAGUGAUCAUCGAUUCACUUUCAACUUCGAUCAAGGUACAUUUGGUAUUCGUUCUUCUCUUUCUACCACUCACACUUGUCUUGGAAUGAUGGAUAGGUCAAGUACUUCUACCAACCCACUCUUCAUGGAGCAAGAUGACGACAUGAACUCCUUCACCAAGAGUCAUCUCUUCGGUGCACAACGUGCUUUGCAUCAAGAGCAACAAGCUAUGAGUGAACGCAUCGACAACCUUGCCGCCGACUUGCGACUUUCCGAGCAACGUACAAGGGACUACUUCGACCACAAGCUCGACGAUCACAAGCAAGAGAAUGACGCAAGGAUGGACGAGAAUCGCGCUUUGUUGCUCAACCGCUCUUCUUCCACUUCAAGAAGGAGCCGUUCAAGUCGCCAUUCCGACUCAAGUACACCGACUUCGAACACUCCUCGUCGAGCCGCGCGCACCGACAAUCAAGCAAACCUCAAUCCGCUUCGGGACACCGACUCUCAAGAGCGUCGUCGACGUCAAGCCGAAGAAGCCUUUGCGCUAGCUCGAGAACGGCAACAACAACGCCAACAUGAAGAGGAAGAACGCGCGCGUCUACACCAAAAUGCACAAAAUACCGAGGCUCAACGUCAAGAACAACAACUCCGUGACGCUCAAGCACUUGAGGCGCAACAAGCUCUACGUGAUGCGAGUCGAGCCGUUGCCGACCGAGGCCGACAAGCCCGUGAAGAAGAGGAAGCACUUCGCGAAGAACUUCAUGAACGACGAUUUCAAGCUCACAUGCAUCGUCUAGUUCCCCCUCGAGCUCGACGCGUUCCUCCACAAGCUCGCCAAGACCAUCAAGUUCAUCAAGAGCAUGAAGACAAUGGGAACCCUCCGCGUCAAGAGCACCACAAGUUGGACAAUCAUCUGCAACAUGGGCGUCAUCAUCCCCGACCCCAACACAAUGAAGAGCAACGCUACGGCAAGCUCAAGUUCACCAUGCCCAAGUUCAACGGAAGCAACGAUCCCGAAGAAUACCUUUCAUGGGCAUUGAAAGUUGACAAGAUCUUCCGUUUGCACAAUUAUGAAGAAGAGAAGAAGAUCGCGAUGGCAUCCCUUGAGUUCCAAGACUAUGUCCUCAUUUGGUGGGAACAAGUCAUUGAGCGCCGCGAGGCAAGAGGUGAUCCACCCAUCACUACUUGGGCACAAAUGAAGGAUGUCAUGAGAGCACGAUUCGUGCCUACCUACUACAACCGCGACCUCUUCAAGAAACUCCAACAACUCAAGCAAGGAACCAAGAGCGUUGAAGAAUACUACAAGGAGAUGGAGAUUGCAAUGAUAAGAGCCAAUGUGACGGAAGAUGAUGAGCAAACUAUGGCACGUUUCUUGAAUGGACUCAAUCAUCCCAUCAAGAAGAUCGCCGACUUCCAACCAUACUCAAAUCUCAUCGAGCUCGUGCACCAAGCUACCAAAGCGGAACGCCAAGUGCAAGAUGAUUUCAAGUAUGCCAAAUUCUCAAACAAGUCAUACGGCUUCUCCAAUAACCAAGCUUCAACGACGCCAACACAAACUACAAGACCGUCUACUUCCAACAUCAACAAGUCGACUUCCAAGAAAGCUUCGCCUACUACAAGCAACUUCAAGCCAAGAGCUUCAUCAUCAACAACCCCUACCGAUGAGACCGUCAAGACGAGUUCCCUCAAGUGUUUCACUUGCGGCGGCCGAGGCCACAAGUCCUAUGAGUGCACCAACAAGCGCACCAUGAUCUUCAACGACGAUGGCACUUAUGAUUCCAUGAGCGAAGGAGAAAUGGAAGCCCUUGAGCAAGUCGCCAUGCACCGCCAAGUGAACAAUGAAGAAGAACAAGUCUUUUGUGAUGAAAACUCAAGUCCCGCACUUGUUGUCUCCAAAGUCUUGACUCUCCAACAUCACCAAGAAGAAGACCAAAGAUGCACCAUAUUCCACACCAAGGCCGGCAUCAAUGGACGAUCUGUCAAGGUCAUCAUCGAUGGAGGGAGUUGUCACAAUCUCGCAAGUGAAGAACUUUGCUUCAAGCUCCAAUUGCCCAAGACGAAGCAUCCACAUCCAUACAAAGUGCAAUGGCUUAGUGACUCCGGUACCAUCCAAGUCGAGCACCGAGUACAAGUCUCUUUCAAAAUCGGCGCCUACGAAGACACCUUGGAGUGCGACGUCAUCCCAAUGACCGUUUGCCAUCUUCUCCUUGGACGACCAUGGCAAUUCGAUAGAGGAGUCGUCCACAAUGGGCGUACCAACCACUAUAGCUUCAAGAUGCAAGGAAAGGAGUUUGUGUUACGACCUAUGUCUCCAAGCCAAGUGAUCACCGAUAAGCAAGCCACCCAUCGUGGAGAGAAUGGUGAGAGAAUGAACCACCAAAAAGAGAGUGAGCGCCACAAGCCCAAAUUGAGUGCCUCCACGAUGAGCGAAAACAAGAACUUCGUUCUACUUGCCACCAAACGUGAGAUGAGAGAAGUGUGUGAGAACCCAUCUAGUGUCCUACACUACGUCCUCGUGUGCAAGGACAAUACAACACAAACUAACACUUCUCACACUCUUCCUCUAGUGUUGUCUUCUCUUUUGCAGGAAUUUUAAGAUGUUUUCCCCGAUGAGCUACCUCCGGGACUACCUCCACUACGAGGCAUUGAGCACCGCACCGACCUCAUCCCCGGAGCACCACUUCCGAACAAAGCUCCCUACCGCAUCAACCCCGAAGAAACCAAAGAAAUUCAAAGGCAAGUAAAGCAUCUCAUAGACCAUGGUCAUGUGCGUGAAAGUUUGAGCCCUUGUGCCGUACCGGUCAUUCUUGUGCCAAAACGUGACGGUAGCUUUCGCAUGUGCUCCGAUUGUAGACCUAUCAAUGCUAUCACCGUUCGUUAUAGGUAUCCCAUUCCACGCCUAGAUGAUAUGCUAGAUGAGCUUAGUGGUGCCACUAUAUUUUCCAAAAUUGAUCUUAAGAGUGGUUACUAUCAAAUCCGCAUACAAGAGGGUGAUGAAUGAAAAACCACAUUCAAAACCAAGUUUGGUUUGUAUGAGUGGUUAGUCAUGCCUAUGGGUCUCUCGGAAGCACCGAGCACUUUUAUGCGCCUUAUGAAUCAUGUCUUUCGCCCUUACAUUGGUAUAUUUGUUCUGGUUUACUUAGAUGACAUUCUUGUGUUUAGCAAAUCUAUCCAAGAGCAUGUCACCCAUGUCCGCACCGUUUUGCAAACUCUUAGAAAAGAGCGUCUCUAUGCUAAUAUGGAGAAAUGCCUUUUGGUGUUGAUAAGCUCGUUUUCUUAGGUUUUGUGAUCUCUUCUAAGGGUGUUCAUGUAGAUGAGUCCAAAAUCAAUGCUAUUAAGACUUGGCCGCAACCAACCAACUUGCAUCAAGUGCGUAGUUUUCUUGGUCUUGCGGGUUUCUAUCGUCGCUUUGUGAAGGAUUUUAGCACCAUUGCUUCGCCUUUGCAUGCUUUGAGCAAGAAGAAUGCGCCGUUUAUUUGGGGACCAUCCCAAGAUACCGCAUUCAAUGAGCUUAAGAAUUUGCUUACUCAUGCUCCCGUGCUUGCUUUACCCAACUUCGACAAGCCUUUUGAGAUUCAUUGCGAUGCUAGCGGUAAUGGCAUAGGAGGUGUGUUAACGCAAGAGAAGCGACCCAUAGCUUACUUUAGUGAGAAACUUUCCGGAGCGCAACUCAACUAUCCCAUCUAUGACAAAGAGCUAUAUGCUUUAGUCCGUGUUUUACAUGAAUGGGAACAUUACCUUCGUCCCCAUGAGUUUAUCAUUCAUACCGAUCAUGAGACCCUCAAGUAUCUCAAGGGUCAAACUAGUUGAACAAGCGUCAUGCUAAAUGGAGUGAAUUCAUUGAGUCUUUUCCCUAUGUCAUCAAGUACAUCAAGGGUAAAGAAAACAUCGUAGCAGAUGCUCUUUCCCGCAUAUGCAUGCUAGUCACGCAACUUGAGUUAGAUGUCAUUGGCUUCGGGCAUAUCAAAGAAUUGUAUGCGCAUGAUGAGACUUUUGCCACUCCUUAUGCCAAGUGUUUGUCGCAUACAUCGUGGGAACGCUAUUACAUCAAAGACGGCUAUCUUAUGAGAGCUAACAAACUUUGCAUCCCCAAGUCGUCCCUUCGUUUAUUGCUUUUGCAGGAAUCGCAUGGAGGAGGAUUAAUGGGACAUUUCGGACGCGACAAGACGUUCACCACGCUCUCGAAGAGCUACUUUUGGCCAAAGAUGUUUCGGGACGUCAAUCGCUUCACCAACCGAUGUUCGACAUGCCGCAAAGCUAAGUCCAAAGCUCAAUCUCAUGGUCUCUAUAUGCCUUUACCAAUUCCAUACCAACCUUGGGAGGACAUAAGCAUGGACUUUAUACUUGGUUUGCCAAAACUCGCAAUGGGAAAGAUUCCAUAUUUGUCGUUGUGGACCGUUUCUCCAAAAUGGCACAUUUUAUUCCUUGUCACAAGAUAGACGAUGCUUCACAUGUUGCUAAUCUCUUUUGUAGGGAAAUAUUGCGUCUCCAUGGUGUGCCAAAGACAAUUGUCUUGGACUGCGACGUCAAGUUCCUUAGCUACUUUUGGAAGACCCUAUGCGCCAAGCUCGGAAUCAAGCUACUCUUCUCCACGGCGUACCAUCCUCAAACCGACGGCUAAACGGAGGUGACAAACCGCACACUCUCUGCUCUACUUCGAGUACUCAUCAAGAAGAACAUCAAGGAGUGGGAGGAGUGCCUACCUAUCGCCGAGUUCGCCUACAACCGAGCAAGACACUCAACAACCGGCAAGUCGCCUUUCGAGGUCGUUUACAGAUUCAACCCAUUGUCACCAUUGGACAUUUUUCCUCUACCACUCCAAGAGGGCAUCAAUUUGGACGCAAGUGCGCGUGUGACACAUCUCGAGAAGAUGCAUGAAGAUACAAGAAACACCAUCGAGCGCCAAGUUCAACGCCUUGCGACCAAGCUCAACUUCAACAAGCAACCUAUGGUCUUCAACACUGGUGAUCAAGUGUGGCUACACCUUCGCAACGACCGCUUCCCACAAGAACGCAAAUCCAAGCUUCGACCACGAGCGGAUGGACCCUUCAAGGUGCUUGCACGCUACAACGACAACGCUUACAAGAUCGACCUCCCGCGCAACAAGUACAACGUGAGCGACAUCUUCGACGUCAAAGAUCUCUCUCCCUUCCAUGGUGAUGAAGAUUUUGAUCCGAGGACGGAUCUUCCCCAAGGGAGGGGAGAUGAUGCGGAGCAUCCCAAGGUCAUCCCCAUGGACCUACCAUCGUCUCAUCAAGUGCCUACCGGACCCAUGACUCGAUCACGUGCAAGAGCCCUUGAAACCGAGAUGACAUCUCUCCUCUCACAAUUCCACUUCGAUGCACAUGAAGCACGGCUACUACCUCAUAUGGAUACUUUGUGCAUACUCAGGUACAAUGGAGAAGCUAAGGAGCAAGGACAAGAAGAAGAGGAAGAUGGAUGAGAAGACGGAGAAGAAGGGCUGCCGGAAAAGACCCAGCCACCGGACGACCGGCCAAGACCGGACGUCCGGCGCCUGAAGCAUCUGCCGAGUCCCAGCCAGCGGACGUCCGGUCCAGACCGGACGACCGGUGCCCCGACACCCGAAGCAAACGAGCGGACAUCCGGUCCAGACCGGACGACCGGUGCCCCUGCACCCGAGGCCAAUGAGCGGACGUCCGACCCCGACCGGACGACCGGCGCGACCGCACCCAAGCCAAAGUCAACGGAAGUCCGGAGCCUCCGGACGUCCGGCACCCCCAUCAUAGAGCGGAACCAGCGGACGACCGGAGGACACCGGACGUCCGGCAGCUCCUGAGACACCGGACGACCGGUCCCCAGCGGACGUCCGGUACCUGUCUGCGCACAGUGUUCGGGCCUGAGGCCCAUGUACCCCUUCACUUCGCCCCCAUUUGCACUUAGACUAUAAAUAGACCCCCCAUUCAUCCUAGCUAGGGUUAGCAUUGGUUUAGCUCAUUUGAGAGAUAGAGCAUUGCUCAUCCAUAUCAGAUCUACUCCUCGAGAGAGACCGCGGCCCCUCUUCAGAGAAGAUCCACCUUGGAUUCAAGACCUCCUUGCGGAGAAGAUCCCCUUGUGGAUUCAAGACCUCCUCACGGAGGAGAACCGGUUACCGUGUAUCGUCCCUAGUUGUCCGUGGAUUCGUGUAUCGUUCUAUGUACUCGAGGAUCUAGCCCAUGUGUGACUUAUUCAUGUCGGUUUAGUGAUUUCCUCUUGUGUUUACCUUCCGUUCAUCCUCGUGUUCUUCGUGUUUUUUCCCCGGGAUCCGCUCCUUUCGUGAAAGAUCGGGCUAUAGGGUCUCUACCCUACAUCAUCUUGGAAUAGUGCACUAUAGUACUUCAAUAGUCUAUAGUGGACAAGGUGUGGUUGGUACUAUAUUGGCGAAAAACAGUUAUCGGGAGCAAUGAAUCUAAUGAUGAUACAUGGACCUCCAUGCCCCUUAAUACAAUAUAAUGGCAUUUGUUCAGACCUCUAACUAUUAGAUUUUUUUCCGCAAAAGCGGUCAACGUAUGUAGCCUCCAAGACAAGGAAAGCUCCAUGUUUCCUUGUAUGUUAUAUUGCUUUAGUCUUGUUGUGACUUUGCUCAUCUUUUAUACACUCCAUCAUUUAUCAUUUUUUCCCAUUAUUCCUUCUUGAAAGUAAGGCAAGUUCUAUAGGACGGCGGUUCGACCCGCAAUGUUGUAUGGCGCUGAGUGUUGGCCGACUAAAAAGCGACAUGUUCAACAGUUAGGUGUGGCAGAGAUGCGUAUGUUGAGAUGGAUGUGUGGCCACACGAGGAAGGAUCGAGUCCGGAAUGAUGAUAUACGAGAUAGAGUUGGGGUAGCACCAAUUGAAGAGAAGCUUGUCCAACAUCGUCUGAGAUGGUUUGGGCAUAUUUAGCGCAGGCCUCCAGAAGCUCCAGUGCAUAGCGGACGGCUAAAGCGUGCGGAGAAUGUCAAGAGAGGGCAGGGUAGACCGAAUUUGACAUGGGAGGAGUCCGUCAAGAGAGACCUGAAGGAUUGGAGUAUCACCAAAGAGCUAGCUAUGGACAGGGGUGCGUGGAAGCUUGCUAUCCAUGUACCAGAGCCAUGAGUUGGUUGCGAGAUCUUAUGGGUUUCACCUCUAGCCUACCCCAACUUGUUUGGGACUAAAGGCUUUGUUGUUGUUGUCGUUGUAUUCCUUCUUGAAAGUAUUUUAAGAAAGUGGAAAACAUUCUGUUCGGGAGAAAUCAUCAGAAAAGCAAAAAUUUCUGUAUGUUGUUUUUCCAUACUCAUCUUUUCGACCCCUUCCUUCACUUGAUCAUCAUUGUUUUGAUGUUUUCACUUUUUUCUCAUUAUUAUUUCUUCAUGAAUGCAGUUGAAGAAAGUUAGUUAUUUAGUUUCAGAGGAAACAUCUCAUAAACGAACAAAACAGAUGUCAGUUUCUCGCCUUCAGCAGAUGAAAAAUUACCGAUAAGAUGAUGGUAUUAGUUUUAUCAGAUCUGGAAGCUUUACUCUGAAGUUAUAUAUUCUUUGUAUGUUUUGCAAACACAAGCAUGCCACAUCGUCAAUAUCACCGAUGCCUAUUAUAGAAACACUCGGCUAUGCUUCCAGCACCUCAAAAGAAAACUUUGGUCCACCUUCAUGUAAGAGUGAAAAACUUGGAUGGAAUCCGACAGGCCAAUUGCAACAAAUAAAUGGAACUAGUAACAGCUUCAUUCCAAUGGACACAUAUUCCAACCCAUAUGAAAGCUUAAGUAAGUUGCACAACAAAGACGUAUAAGAUGAAACACAAAUACUUCAUAUCGCAUGCACCUUGCACGGUGUUGCCGGUGCAUUCAGAUCCCAUGCGCCCUGGCAGUGGCCAGGUGCGUAGGUGGCGAUAUUGGGCUGUAGUCUAGUGCGAGUGGUGACUGUGGAGGCUAUGGCCAUGACCACCAUGAAGUGGUGGAUCGGUUGCGCAGCAGCCUGAAAGCGAUCAGCGGUGAACCAGCAUGUGGUGCGGCAGCGCGACCUCUACUCUUUGGCCGGCAGCUACGUCAGGGUUGCAUCUGGCAAACUUCUCUGAUCCCGACACAAGCAGAGGGCUUGAGCGGGAUCCAAUGGCACGUCGAGGGACACACGAUGAGCCAGCUAGGACAGCAGGCACCGGUCAGCAGAGAUGGUGGACAACAGUAUUGGUGAAUCAGCGCGGAGUAUGCGUUUUCUGUGGGUAAAAACCCUUGGUCAGCCUCUUUGGUCAGAUCAAGAAACAUUGGCUUACGUGAGUCGUUUCCUUCCCAAGAUGUGUAGCUCGAAGCUCCUCCGGGGGUGAUAACCACAGGAUUGACCUUUUAUAAAAAAACUCAGCAACAUCGACGUAUGAGCUGCAAUCCCUUCUUGACGGCGCGUUAUCUUGGAGUAUCAUGUACAUCGCUUAGUCCCAACUAUUUUACCAGAGGAAUAUGGUCCCCGGUAAUAGGUUAGUGGUAGAUGAUAGAGAUGUUGGCUAUCCUUCAGUUUUUCGUUUAUUGUAAACCGUUGUGUUCAGUCUUGAUACUUGGUAUCUUUUUAAUGAAAUUAUGGUUGUAUGCAUCUGAGGAUGCAGAGGCCAGGAAGCUUGUCCUUCCUUUUCGGAAAAAAAAAAGCUUGAUGUGUCGGAGGAUUCUCCAUGCAUGAUGCGCUAUGAUGGUGCCCACAAAUGUGCAAUCACCUGUUGUUGGAAAGUGCCUUUAGCAUGGUCGGUUGGAGCAGCAACUUCCAACAGACGCUCUUCAUGGGAAAAAAAUUAUAACCGCUGUGUGGCACAUAUGGGAAGUACAGGCCUGGCGCAGUGGUGAAGUACUCCCCACUUGUGCCAAGAGGUCCUGGGUUCAACACUGCCUCUCUGCACUGCACUGUGCAGGGGUAAGGCUUGCCUCGUAUAAUCCUUCCCCAUACCCCAUCUGGUGUGGGAGCUUCUAGCACUGGGUCUGUCCUUUUUGUGUGGCAUAUAUGGAAAUAACACAAUGUGAAGAUUUUAGACAGUGUCACGCCCAGUUGCCAUGUCCAUGAAACAUUUUUUUAGGAGAGAAUAGCUGGGUUGAUUCUGUUGCCUAUUUUUUUCGAGUCGCUGGUGUAUGUAAACUGUUUGUACAUCUCCACCCACCCCCACCCCCACCCCUCCUCUCCACCGUCAGGGCCUUCACUACAGUCUCCCCAUAAAAAAGGUACAUAAGAAUUCAACCUGAAAGCCAGACAUACCUCAAACAUGUUCAAGUAUCUUGUAAACAAUAGCGGCAGAAACUUCUCCCAUUCAAUGGAUCUGGAAUUUUUUAUGCAACGUGCUAUGAUGGCAGCCCAUUGGAUAUCCCAGAAGUUACAAUUUGUGACAGAGUCCCAAAUGUGUAGACAUUGUGCAAUCCAAUCACUACAAAUCAGUGUCAUAAGUUAGUUAAAAGAAUAGAUGUUUGGCAACAUAAGGAAGCUCAUUGAUCAAAUAUGUGACCGUUUCAAUUACGUCGUAAAGUGAUCCUGGUUCCUCGAGUUUGCAGGAAGAAACAGCCUAACAAAUCCAACACCUUCAAAUGCUGAGUUAUGCCAUGGAUUUUCCAGCAACGGCCUGUGGUUCCAAUACAGUAUCAGGUCAGGCAGUUCUAUUUCGGCAGAACUCACCAAGCACAAAUUUCCAGUUGUGGUGAUAAGAAACGAUUGAUACACUUUGUGCUAUUUUUCGAAUUUAUACAAUACUAAUAGUAUAGAAAACAAUAACAUUGAUAGUAGCAACAGAAGGAACAAAAAAACAGUGCAAAUAAAACACAAGCAUUCAGCUGCUUAUGGAUAUUUCCUAUAGGACUUAUCAUUUUUUUUAGAUUCUAUUGGGCCUAUCAUGGAAAAGGGACAGCGAUAAUCGCAUCAUAGAUUUCUAAAAUAGCAGAAUCAUGACACUCAAGUCUCUAACCUAGCACAGGUGUAGCAUAGCACUCGGAAGUCCCUAAAGUUCUCGCAGAUCCCAAACUUGCAUGGGCAUUGUACAUGUCUCCAAACUUGCUAAUAAUCUAGCAUGUACCCAAAUAUGCAUGGCUAAGCACCAUUUCUCCAUUAACAAACAGUAUGAGAAGAUAUAGCAAGUGUUACCCUGUCGCUGAUUAGAAAACUAUGAUUCCUUACCUUUUGGUUCCAUAGUUGAGACAAGAUAACUACUAGUACUACUUAGAUAUUAGCCUUAGGGAAUAAGAUAAAAUUUGUUAGUGAAGAUUGCUAGGAAAGUUUCAGCUAAGCGAUGGAUGCAAGUACAUCUUGUUAAGGAAAGGAAUAAAUAAAGGUUAUCUAGUCUCCCUCUCUUAUUGAGCCGGUCCAUCAAAGGACAUGAGUUCCAAGUUGGAUUUUGACAGGAUUUUCACCAAUUCGCAUUUUCACCGGAUAAUAUGCCAAUGAAUCAAGAAAGAUCAAAGCAGCAUAGAAGCAAGAAUGCAGAAGUAUGCGGGAAAAAAUAAACACGGGUGCUGAAUAUGCCAAACAGAAACUGCCAAACCUGAAUUCCAACCAAAUCUCAGCAGCUGCACCUUCAGGAAAGAAAGUCCUAGAGGCAUGUACUAAGCCGGUGAUGGUCUCGAAGUGUUGCUGCCUUACUUUCCAGCCCUCAGGGCCCAUGUUUCUGAAAUAAACAUGACAUUCACCAUGUUAACUCAUGUAGUUCUUUCGACACCAGAAAAUAUGUGUGUUCAGAACUGUACCUCUUGAAAUGGGUUUGUAUCAAUGUCUCGUAAAGCGGCCUCCAUUGCACAUCAAGUGAAAGUCUCUCCGCAUGCUUUUUGAAAAGCCUGAUGAGCAAACCUCCCCAUUUUAUCUGGUUACCAAUUGUUUAGUGUAUAUCACCAAAGAACAAAAGAUCUUAACUAUACAUAGAUAAAUCAUUAAUUGCAGGCCAUUACCUGGACAACAAACUUAUUCUGCGAUGCAUGAAAUAUUCCAAACCCAAGCUCUACAAGAGCAUGUAUGUCCUCAGGAGCAACGUCACUCUUUGCUUUGAUAAAACUAAAUCCAUAAAAAAUCAAACAUCAACAUUUGCUACAUAAAUCCUGAUAAUUAACCAAAUUCAAUUACAUUGUUAGUAUGUUACAACAAAAACAAGUUGUGCCCUUCCAAGUAUAGCCUCACUUCAAUAUACAAUUGAAAUUGCUGUGUUAGAGAGAAAGGGAAAAUGUGUGCCACAUAACAUAAAAGUGCCAUUAUAAUCUCAUGUGUACUUCAAUAUAUUAACCAGGGUUAUGAAGUGAAGGGUUUUGUAUAAGGUCAUGUUAAGAAUUGUACAUGUUUAUCGUUGCAUAUUCAUUAAUUGGAGACUCAUGUGGAGUCACGGCCUAAUUCCAAAGACGAUAUCCUCCCAAGGCCCCACAUAGAAAAUAACUAUAAAUUCCCAUGUAAAUUAAACAAUAUCUGAGGCACUCACAUAUUAAAAAUGAAAAUCAAAUCCAUAUAUCUAAACUGUGUAUUGUGUGUCUUAGAUCUCAUAUAUAGCCCAUCAACUUUGCAGUUUAAUUCAUUGGCCCCAUCAACAAAAUAAAUUAUAUAUUUUACUCAAAGAACACAUGUUCACAAAACACAUGCCCAAUUAAUAAGUCAUAGUCGUUAUAAUACUACUUCACAGAUCAAUCCAGAGUAUUAAUAUCACAACCCAAUACAAUUUUAGAAAACACAACUUGGGCAGACAUUGCAUGUAAAUCUGAAUGAGACAGGCUAUAACACAAUUGGAAAAGCAUACAGUGUAAUAUAAAUAUAUAAUACAGCUUUUAUCGCAAAAUAAAUUAACUUUAAAGCACAAAUAGGGCAGCCCGGUGCAUGUAGCUCCCGCUUGCGCAGGGUCCGGGGAAGGGUCUAUUGUACACAGCCUUUCCCUACAUUUCUGCAAGAGGCUGUUUCCAGGACUUGAAACCGUGACCUCAUGGUCACAAGGCAACAGCUUUACCACUACACCAAGGCUCCCCUUCCAAGCACACAAGCACAUUCAAAAUCAUCUAAAUAGAAACUGAAUUGAAGCAAUAUGAUUGCUUUUCUCUACCGUAUGUAACCAAAGUAACUGUUCCGUAUAUUGAAUGGAAAUACUUUUACAAGAAUCUUAGGUUUUUCUACAGAUGUACUUCCUACAAAUCAAAUGUGACAACGACAUUUUUACAAUUUAUAUGUUUUGGAGUUGCUCGCGGUGCAGAGAAACAGGUUGAAGACUACUUUAUCCAACUGUGACAAAAUCAUUCAAAUUGAAAUAUACAAAGGGGCAGAAUAUAGUGUAUAUCCAUCUUUGGGUACUAAUCAUCAGGUGGGUCACAGUCUAUUAGAUCGCAUUUGCACUGAUUAUAUUCAAAAGAAAGCAUAAAUAAAUAUUUACAAACAGACCCUAACGCUUCAGUAUUUGCAAACAAACCAAUGACAGACCGAGAGAGAUAAUUUCAGAUGGACCCUGCCUCCUGGCAUCCCUCAAUCUGAUCCACCAAUCACAUAUGACGAACACCGCUACAUGCUAGUGCCCAAAAGAGUUUGUAGUAGCUAAUUAGCAUCUCAUGAACUAAUUAAUCAUCAAAACUUUUGUUAAGAUGCUAAAGAUGGCAGGAAAAGCUCAGAAACGAGCUUGGUAUUGGAGCUUAGGCCGUGAGCCUUGUGGCAAGUGUUUUACCCAAAAGCAGAGUCACAGUACAGAAAUGUACGCCAACAACAACUAAUUCUGACUAUGUUUUCCAGUAGUGGACUCCAUCGUACAAGCGCUCAUCCCAUUCACGGCUUAGCCGAACAAGCUCCAGAGAGUGGAUGCCCAACAAUUCCACAACCGCGAGCCCCAAGCUAACCCUUCACACAGUCAUGGAAAUGGAAUCGCUCAAAACCUCUCCGGAUUACGAGAGCAACUCGACUGGCGAUUGUGCAUAUAAAAUCCCAAAAGCAAAUCGAAUCGCACCGCAUCGAAUCGAAUCGGUACGGAGGAAAGGGCGCGAGGGAAUUACAGGUCGAACACGGAGAUCCACUUGAGCGUGGCGUAGGCCGAGUCGGGGUCGUCGGGGCGCCACGCGUCCUUGGCCGCCCGCACCGCGCCGGCGAAGGCCGCCGCCUCCCCCCGCGCGGCAUCCGCCACCGCCGGGGGCAGCCACGCGUUGUAGAGAUGCAUCGCCGCUGUGUGCUUGCGAAGCAAAGCGAGGCGAGGCGAGGCGGAAAUGGGUGACGGGUUUCUGGUUGGGGUUUAAUCGGGUAGAGAAUUUAUGAGCGGCCGGGUUCUUUCUUCGCCUCCAAGACGAGCGAGGGGGAGACGACGACCAAAGAGGCCAGAGGGCGACUUCGGCGACCGGUGCUCCGCGGCCAAGGCAAGGGGGCGCUGCUGUUAUCAGUGACGCAGGCUCUGGGGCUGCGUGGACCUGGUGUACGGUGGACUUCUGAGUUUCUCUUUAGUUUAGAGCAUCUCCAACAAACGCGCAAGGCUUGCGCGCAAUAAUGUCUUUACAGUGUCAAAAUGAUCAGUUUUUACGCAUAGCUGAGCGCUGGCUCCAGUGACCGCCCCAAAUAUAGCGUGCGCGAGCCGCUCCAGGAGGCACUAAAAAAACGACGUGCGUGCCAGCACAAACAACAUAUGUACUUCAAACAAAACCAAAAAGAUCAAACACAUAAAAUUAAAUCAACAAUAAUAAAUAAUUCAAUUUUAUUACAACUCAAACAAAUAGUUCAUCUUUCAAUACAACAAAUAAUUCAACAAUACAACAUCGAACAUACAAAUCAUCAUGCGUUUUGUCAACUCUCCCUUCUCAAAGAGGAAGAAAGCACAAGUAGUCAAGACCAAAACUGCACCGACUCGGAAAAAGAAAAAGUCUGUUGUUGCAGAUGAGCCGGCGGCUAGGGGCGAGUCGCCACAAGCUGACAAUCAAUCAGAGGUAGAGCUUGACACCCUUGGCCAUCUCCUUAUUGGGCUUACUUACGCCUCUUAUUCUUAGGGUGAAGUCGCCACAAGUUGACAAUCAAUCAGAGGUAGAGCUUGACACCCUUGGCCAUCUCCUUACUAAGCUUACUGACGCCUCUUAUUCUCAGGGUGAAGUCACCACAAGCUGGGCUGAUGAUGUUGAGAUAAUUUCCAUCUCCUCCGGCUCGGAAUCCCUGCCUCCCAAGAUCACUGGGCAGUUAUCCGGCAAGUAAGUUUUUCUCAUCCGAAUGCUCAUUUAGACCUGAACUUUAUUUUUAAGAAAACACAACACGAGUCGAGGCGCCAAACUCGAAGUGGCAGCUCUGGAGAUCUAGUGGCCGGGUUAACUCAUGAACCAUCUGCUCGCAAGCGGCGUAACGAGGUGCCAAACAAUCCAACUCCUUCUUUACCCAAAGCCGGCCUUGUUAGGCAGCCUCUUAGUCCUUCUAACUCAAAUUAUCAGGAGUCAUCACCCUCAUACGACGAGUCAACUGCUUCCAAGCGGCCACCUCUUGUCAUUAAUCAAGGGUAGACUUCUUUUAUAUCAUGUACCACUUAAUCAUUCUUAGCAUCGCAUAUAUCAUGUACCCAAGGGUCGGGUUAUCAUGUCAACAGUGAGCCGGUUAUUUCCAAUACAUCCUUUAUGAAAAGAAAUGCCAUGCAGCCCCCAAGGGGCGGCUCAUCUUCAUGAGAGGAACCGGAUCUUUCCAUAGUAGUAUACCUUAAAGAAUUAACAUGUAGGCCCCAAGGGUUGGCUCAUGUUUAUGAGAUGAGCCGGGUCUUCUUAUAGUUUUGAAGGUAGAAAAAGGAUAUGCAUUAGCCUCCAAGUGCUGAGUAUAUUGCUUGCAAUUUGUUGGGACUUCUCCUUUGAAAGUGAAUUGGUAUAGCCCCCAAAUGAUGGGUUAGACAUUGUUGCCGACUUACUUCAACAUUUGUUAAAUGACUUAUCUCCUUAUUCUGCGGGAGGCUCUAAGUACGGCCGAGUCAAAUUUGACUGGCUUAAGAAAAAACUGUGAAUCUGAGCAAGCUCUGUGAAGCAAGGCUGAAUCAAGUUUGAAGUCCUCUCUGGAGGAGUUGGAGAAAAUCAAGGCAGACUUUGAAUCAGAAAAAAAAGUCUUUUGAAACUGAAAAGGCCGCCUUGAUCCGACGUGCAGAAGCCGCCGAAAGCCAAUUGGCACCGGUCACUGAGGAAUUGGCCGGCUUAAAGCACCAUAUUACUCAAAUGACCCAAACUAUAUUUGGUAAGUUAUCCCACAACUUAUAAAGAAAAUUUAACUCACCUGGCAAGUCAUGCAUAAGUAAUAUCCCGCCUGGCGGCUCACAUACCGAAACUUCUAUGCAGGUGAUAGAACUUGCGGCCUUUAGGAUAGCGUCAUGAAGCUGAAAGAUGUAUACUCU
This 35825-nucleotide long non-coding RNA is filed under the name Triticum aestivum (bread wheat). RNAcentral's name for it is "long non-coding RNA (TAES_LNC014476)". Lineage: Eukaryota; Viridiplantae; Streptophyta; Magnoliopsida; Poales; Poaceae. The record is from RNAcentral.